GCGUGGCGUCACAGGACUGGGCCAGCAGCUCACAUCCACCCUGUCCUCCCUUUUUCAGGCCUAGGUUCACUGUCCCCCAGGCAGCUUCACGGCUGUUUUUACACACCUCCCAUUGUAGCUGUCUCACCGGGUCAUCGGUGACCACGGUGUCCACCAUGUUACCGAGAGCUUCUCUGUGCCCCUGGACGAGUCCUAAGGCUGUGCUGUCUCCGGACUUUCUGCAAAGGACCCUGUAAGGCUCCCAGCCUCCCCGGCCUCGCAGGCACCUUCUCUCCCCGGCCUCCCGGCGCUGGCCUCGCAGGCACCUUCUCUCCCCAGCCUCCCGGCGCCGGCCUCGCAGGCACCUUCUCUCCCCGGCCUCCCGGCGCCGGCCUCGCAGGCACCUUCUCUCCCCGGCCUCCUGGCACUGGCUUCGCAGGCACCUUCUCGGCACAUCUCUCUCAUUUCUUCUUCACUGGCUGACUCUGAACUGAGUGACCUGCAUGGCCAUCCUGAGAGGUGGGCCUCUGCCCGCACCUCCGCCCACCCCGC
RNAcentral lists this long non-coding RNA (531 nucleotides) under Homo sapiens (human). RNAcentral describes it as "HSALNT0207425". The record is from RNAcentral. Lineage: Eukaryota; Metazoa; Chordata; Mammalia; Primates; Hominidae.